Molecule: ribosomal RNA, 253 nt
Filed under: Faecalibacterium prausnitzii
Lineage: Bacteria; Bacillati; Bacillota; Clostridia; Eubacteriales; Oscillospiraceae
Description: partial 16S ribosomal RNA
Rfam family: Bacterial small subunit ribosomal RNA
Source: RNAcentral
AACGUAGGUCACAAGCGUUGUCCGGAAUUACUGGGUGUAAAGGGAGCGCAGGCGGGAAGACAAGUUGGAAGUGAAAUCUAUGGGCUCAACCCAUAAACUGCUUUCAAAACUGUUUUUCUUGAGUAGUGCAGAGGUAGGCGGAAUUCCCGGUGUAGCGGUGGAAUGUGUAGAUAUCGGGAGGAACACCAGUGGCGAAGGCGGCCUACUGGGCACCAACUGACGCUGAGGCUCGAAAGUGUGGGUAGCAAACAGG